AACCCUAAAACCCAUAACACACGUUUACUCCUUCUACUACAGGCGAGUAAGUCUCCAAAGGUCGAGCAUCCGGUAGAUUGCGUAGUGACGUCGUUCGUCCAAAACCCAAUCCAUAACCCCGUAGUUAGACGAACUACGGCUUGCUCUGAUUCUCAUUCCAGAUGAGAUACGUAGGCAUAAGACGCGAUGUCUUAGCGAGCACACAUC
Molecule: long non-coding RNA, 207 nt
Filed under: Lathyrus oleraceus (garden pea)
Lineage: Eukaryota; Viridiplantae; Streptophyta; Magnoliopsida; Fabales; Fabaceae
Description: Pisum sativum (pea) long non-coding RNA (PSAT_LNC002286)
Source: RNAcentral